AGUGAACGCUGGCGGUAGGCCUAACACAUGCAAGUCGAACGGCAGCACAGUAAGAGCUUGCUCUUACGGGUGGCGAGUGGCGGACGGGUGAGGAAUACAUCGGAAUCUACUUUUUCGUGGGGGAUAACGUAGGGAAACUUACGCUAAUACCGCAUACGACCUACGGGUGAAAGCAGGGGAUCUUCGGACCUUGCGCGAUUGAAUGAGCCGAUGUUGGAUUAGCUAGUUGGCGGGGUAAAGGCCCACCAAGGCGACGAUCCGUAGCUGGUCUGAGAGGAUGAUCAGCCACACUGGAACUGAGACACGGUCCAGACUCCUACGGGAGGCAGCAGUGGGGAAUAUUGGACAAUGGGCGCAAGCCUGAUCCAGCCAUACCGCGUGGGUGAAGAAGGUCUUCGGGUUGUAAAGCCCUGUUGUUGGGAAAGAAAAGCAGCAGGUUAAUACCCCGCUGUUCUGACGGUACCCAAAGAAGAAGCACCGGCUAACUUCGUG
Molecule: ribosomal RNA, 492 nt
Filed under: uncultured bacterium
Lineage: Bacteria
Description: partial 16S ribosomal RNA
Rfam family: Bacterial small subunit ribosomal RNA
Source: RNAcentral